Pezoporus flaviventris is the source of this 247-nucleotide small nucleolar RNA. RefSeq annotates it as small nucleolar RNA SNORD17. The record is from RefSeq and is a predicted model, not a curated record. Lineage: Eukaryota; Metazoa; Chordata; Aves; Psittaciformes; Psittacidae. The transcript has a single exon.
GUGAGAUGAUGACAAAGUUUAUCCAUUCUCUGAGUGCAGUGGUGCUGCCCUCCUGCAGCACCCUGAUUCCUGUUCUAGGGUCUGGGUGCUGUGCAGCCUCCAGAGACCCUCUGGUCUGCCAGUGUCCUACUGGGGGCUGUUGUGGUGUGUGGCUGGCUGCCUGCAGGAGUGAAGUGGUGCCGGCACGGUUGGAGCCCCUCUCUGGGGGGCUCUGUCCUCACUGAGAUGAAGGAUGAUGUCUGAUCAC